Molecule: ribosomal RNA, 424 nt
Filed under: uncultured bacterium
Lineage: Bacteria
Description: bacterial SSU rRNA
Rfam family: Bacterial small subunit ribosomal RNA
Source: RNAcentral
UAAGGAAUAUUGGUCAAUGGGCGCAAGCCUGAACCAGCCAUGCCGCGUGCAGGAAGACGGCCCUAUGGGUUGUAAACUGCUUUUAUACGGGAAUAAACCUCGGUACGUGUACCGAGCUGAAUGUACCGUAAGAAUAAGGAUCGGCUAACUCCGUGCCAGCAGCCGCGGUAAUACGGAGGAUCCAAGCGUUAUCCGGAUUUAUUGGGUUUAAAGGGUGCGUAGGCGGCUUUUUAAGUCAGGGGUGAAAGACGGUGGCUCAACCAUCGCAGUGCCCUUGAUACUGAAGAGCUUGAAUACACUAGAGGUAGGCGGAAUGAGACAAGUAGCGGUGAAAUGCAUAGAUAUGUCUCAGAACACCAAUUGCGAAGGCAGCUUACUAUGGUGUUAUUGACGCUGAGGCACGAAAGCGUGGGGAUCAAACAGG